RNAcentral lists this long non-coding RNA (251 nucleotides) under Capsella rubella. Its description in RNAcentral is "long non-coding RNA (CRUB_LNC005149)". The record is from RNAcentral. Lineage: Eukaryota; Viridiplantae; Streptophyta; Magnoliopsida; Brassicales; Brassicaceae.
AAAAAGUAACAAAAGACACUUCAACACUAGUGGGCUUUGCUAGUUUUGCAAUAGUGGCUGGCUGCGCUCAUAGAUAAAGGGUGCAACCGUCAUUUCAAAUGCCUUCAAUAAUUUAUUAAAAAGGUGAAAGAAAAGGAAAAAAAAAUAUAACUCAAAAACAAAUAAUAUCAUCGCCCUCUCAUUGGUUGGAUAAACAUGUAACUUUCAAAGGUAAAAUCAUUAAUAAAUAUAUAUAAAUGGUUAUAUCGUCG